This 643-nucleotide long non-coding RNA is filed under the name Olea europaea subsp. europaea. Lineage: Eukaryota; Viridiplantae; Streptophyta; Magnoliopsida; Lamiales; Oleaceae. The record is from RNAcentral.
GGCAAAUACUUCUCUCCCUAGACAAAAAAGCAAGAGGAUAGGGGGAAAAUAUGCCUUCUCUCUCUAACAUUGUACUAAUUCUUUUGCUUCUCCUCAGCCUUUCAUCGAACACCUUUUCCCAAAACGCCGGAAUUGAACAAUGUAGCUCGAAUCUCCUACCUUUGGCCCCGUGCGCGCCUUUUGUGCAAGGUGCUGCGCCUUUGCCGGCCCAGUCGUGUUGUGACAACCUUAAACAACUCUAUAUUCAGCAACCUAGUUGCCUUUGUCUGUUUCUCAAUGAGACAACUUUGAGUUCUUUUCCUAUUAAUACCACACUUGCUCUCCAGUUACCCCUUAUAUGCAACCUUCAAAUAAGCAUUUCUACUUGCACAGGUACGUCCAUUAGAAUCCCUUUUUCAUGAUGUGUUUGUUAUAGGCUCGACUGGACAAUAUUGAACAAGACUACUGAUGUAAAUGAGGUUAAUUUAAUGUUCUAUUAUCGAAAAUUGGGUAGAUAAUGUUUCACUAACCAGUGACUUUUUAUCUUUUAAGGCACACCCUUGCCUUCAACUCCACCUAUCUCAGGGCCAAAAACAAAUUCAACUGUUGCAGGUUUGCAUCUUCUCUUCUCAUCAUUCUAUUAUGCGGCAAUUUAUGCUCAAAG